UACAGGGGGUGCAAACGUUGCUCGGAAUUACUGGGCGUAAAGGGCGCGUAGGCGGCCUGUUAAGUCGAACGUGAAAUCCCCGGGCUCAACCCGGGAACUGCGUCCGAUACUGGCAGGCUUGAAUUCGGGAGAGGGAUGUGGAAUUCCAGGUGUAGCGGUGAAAUUCGUAGAUAUCUGGAGGAACACCGGUGGCGAAGGCGGCGUUCUGGACUGCAACUGACACUGAGAAACGAAAGCCAGGGGAGCAAACGGG
This 253-nucleotide ribosomal RNA is filed under the name uncultured bacterium. RNAcentral describes it as "partial 16S ribosomal RNA". It matches the Rfam family "Bacterial small subunit ribosomal RNA", at positions 524 to 776 of the family's 1533-position model. The record is from RNAcentral.